This 503-nucleotide ribosomal RNA is filed under the name uncultured bacterium. Its description in RNAcentral is "partial 16S ribosomal RNA". It matches the Rfam family "Bacterial small subunit ribosomal RNA", at positions 30 to 523 of the family's 1533-position model. The record is from RNAcentral.
AUUGAACGCUGGCGGCAGGCUUAACACAUGCAAGUCGAGCGGGGUGAUGGUGCUUGCACUAUCACUUAGCGGCGGACGGGUGAGUAAUGCUUAGGAAUCUGCCUAUUAGUGGGGGACAACAUCUCGAAAGGGAUGCUAAUACCGCAUACGUCCUACGGGAGAAAGCAGGGGAUCACUUGUCACCUUGCGCUAAUAGAUGAGCCUAAGUCGGAUUAGCUCGUUGGUGGGGUAAAGGCCUACCAAGGCGACGAUCUGUAGCGGGUCUGAGAGGAUGAUCCGCCACACUGGGACUGAGACACGGCCCAGACUCCUACGGGAGGCAGCAGUGGGGAAUAUUGGACAAUGGGGGGAACCAUGAUCCAGCCAUGCCGCGUGUGUGAAGAAGGCCUUAUGGUUGUAAAGCACUGUAAGCGAGGAGGAGGCUCUUUUGGUUAAUACCCAAGAUGAGUGGACGUUACUCGCAGAAUAAGCACCGGCUAACUCUGUGCCAGCCGCCGCCGUAA